Molecule: ribosomal RNA, 441 nt
Filed under: uncultured bacterium
Lineage: Bacteria
Description: bacterial SSU rRNA
Rfam family: Bacterial small subunit ribosomal RNA
Source: RNAcentral
UGAGGAAUAUUGGUCAAUGGGCGGAAGCCUGAACCAGCCAUGCCGCGUGAAGGACUAAGGCCCUAUGGGUCGUAAACUUCUUUAGACGCAGAGCAAUAAGGGUCUCGUGAGAUCCGAUGAGAGUAUGCGUAGAAUAAGCAUCGGCUAACUCCGUGCCAGCAGCCGCGGUAAUACGGGGGAUGCGAGCGUUAUCCGGAUUUAUUGGGUUUAAAGGGUGCGUAGGCGGAAGUGCAAGUCAGCGGUGAAAUCCCCGCGCUCAACCCGGUGUCGCCGUUGAAACUGGCGUGCUCGAGUGCGUGCGAGGAAGGCGGAAUGCGUUGUGUAGCGGUGAAAUGCAUAGAUAUGACGCAGAACUCCGAUUGCGAAGGCAGCUUUCCAGCGCGCUACUGACGCUGAGGCACGAAAGCGUGGGGAUCGAACAGGAUUAGAUACCCUGGUAGU